This 73-nucleotide transfer RNA is filed under the name Erwinia phage pEa_SNUABM_12. Its description in RNAcentral is "tRNA-Asn". It matches the Rfam family "tRNA". From Rfam's summary of the family: Transfer RNA (tRNA) molecules are approximately 80 nucleotides in length. Their secondary structure includes four short double-helical elements and three loops (D, anti-codon, and T loops). Lineage: Duplodnaviria; Heunggongvirae; Uroviricota; Caudoviricetes. RNAcentral also lists the same sequence under 5 other names. The record is from RNAcentral.
GGUUAUGUCGUAUAAAGGUUAUUACGGAGAGCUGUUAACUCUUUUAUCUUGGUUCGAUUCCAAGCAUGACCGC